This 253-nucleotide ribosomal RNA is filed under the name uncultured bacterium. Its description in RNAcentral is "partial 16S ribosomal RNA". It matches the Rfam family "Bacterial small subunit ribosomal RNA", at positions 524 to 776 of the family's 1533-position model. The record is from RNAcentral.
UAAAGAGAGUGCAAGCGUUAAUCGGAAUUACUGGGCGUAAAGCGCGCGUAGGCCGUCGAGUAAGUCGGAUGUGAAAUCCCCGGGCUUAACCUGGGAAUUGCAUUCGAUACUGCUUGACUAGAGUGUGGAAGAGGGAAGCGGAAUUUCCGGUGUAGCGGUGAAAUGCGUAGAUAUCGGAAGGAACACCAGUGGCGAAGGCGGCUUCCUGGUCCAACACUGACGCUGAGGCACGAAAGCGUGGGGAGCGAACAGG